This 665-nucleotide ribosomal RNA is filed under the name Bifidobacterium longum. Its description in RNAcentral is "bacterial SSU rRNA". It matches the Rfam family "Bacterial small subunit ribosomal RNA", at positions 60 to 736 of the family's 1533-position model. Lineage: Bacteria; Bacillati; Actinomycetota; Actinomycetes; Bifidobacteriales; Bifidobacteriaceae. The record is from RNAcentral.
AGUCGAACGGGAUCCAUCAGGCUUUGCUUGGUGGUGAGAGUGGCGAACGGGUGAGUAAUGCGUGACCGACCUGCCCCAUACACCGGAAUAGCUCCUGGAAACGGGUGGUAAUGCCGGAUGCUCCAGUUGAUCGCAUGGUCUUCUGGGAAAGCUUUCGCGGUAUGGGAUGGGGUCGCGUCCUAUCAGCUUGACGGCGGGGUAACGGCCCACCGUGGCUUCGACGGGUAGCCGGCCUGAGAGGGCGACCGGCCACAUUGGGACUGAGAUACGGCCCAGACUCCUACGGGAGGCAGCAGUGGGGAAUAUUGCACAAUGGGCGCAAGCCUGAUGCAGCGACGCCGCGUGAGGGAUGGAGGCCUUCGGGUUGUAAACCUCUUUUAUCGGGGAGCAAGCGAGAGUGAGUUUACCCGUUGAAUAAGCACCGGCUAACUACGUGCCAGCAGCCGCGGUAAUACGUAGGGUGCAAGCGUUAUCCGGAAUUAUUGGGCGUAAAGGGCUCGUAGGCGGUUCGUCGCGUCCGGUGUGAAAGUCCAUCGCUUAACGGUGGAUCCGCGCCGGGUACGGGCGGGCUUGAGUGCGGUAGGGGAGACUGGAAUUCCCGGUGUAACGGUGGAAUGUGUAGAUAUCGGGAAGAACACCAAUGGCGAAGGCAGGUCUCUGGGCCG